Molecule: ribosomal RNA, 480 nt
Filed under: uncultured bacterium
Lineage: Bacteria
Description: SSU rRNA
Rfam family: Bacterial small subunit ribosomal RNA
Source: RNAcentral
AGGACGAACGCUGGCGGCGUGCCUAACACAUGCAAGUGGAGCGACGAACCAGGCUUCGGCCUGGGGCAAAGCCGCGAACGGGUGAGUAACACGUGAGCAACCUGCCCCUAGCUUCGGGAUAGCUCCGGGAAACCGGAAUUAAUACCGAAUAUGGCCAUGGACGACAUCAGCCAUGGUGGAAAGUUUUUCGGCUAGGGAUGGACUCGCGGCCUAUCAGCUAGUUGGUGAGGUAACGGCCCACCAAGGCGACGACGGGUAGCCGGCCUGAGAGGGCGACCGGCCACACUGGGACUGAGACACGGCCCAGACUCCUACGGGAGGCAGCAGUGGGGAAUAUUGCGCAAUGGGCGAAAGCCUGACGCAGCGACGCCGCGUGGGGGAUGAAUGCCUUCGGGUUGUAAACCCUUUCAGCAGGGACGAAGCGAAGUGACGGUACCUGCAGAAGAGCGCCGGCUAACUACGCGCCAGCAGCCGCGGUAA